RNAcentral lists this transfer RNA (88 nucleotides) under Floricoccus tropicus. It matches the Rfam family "tRNA". From Rfam's summary of the family: Transfer RNA (tRNA) molecules are approximately 80 nucleotides in length. The record is from Rfam by way of RNAcentral. Lineage: Bacteria; Bacillati; Bacillota; Bacilli; Lactobacillales; Streptococcaceae.
GGGGAAGUACUCAAGAGGCUGAAGAGGACGGUUUGCUAAAUCGUUAGACCGGGAAAUCGGUGCGGGGGUUCGAAUCCCUUCUUCUCCG